ACACUGUACGAGUUUGAUCCUGGCUCUAGAGCGAACGCUAGCGGCGAGCUUAACACAUGCAAGUCGAGCGGAGGGUUUCGGCCCUCAGCGGCGGACGGGUGAGUAACACGUAGGUUACGUGCCCUUUGGUGGGGAAUAACUUAGGGAAACCUGAGCUAAUACCGCAUAUGCCCUUCGGGGUGAAAGUCUUCGGACGCCAGAGGAUCGGCCCUGCGGCCCAUUAUUUAAUCCUUGUUGGUGGGGUAACGGCCUACCAAGGGUACGAUGGGUAGCUGGUCUGAGAGGAUGAUCAGCCACACUGGGACUGAGACACGGCCCAGACUCCUACGGGAGGCAGCAGUGGGGAAUAUUGGACAAUGGGGGAAACCCUGAUCCAGCUACGCCGCGUGGGUGAUGAAGGCCUUCGGGUUGUAAAGCCCUGUCGAGGGGGACGAAGUUCUGACGGUACCCCUCAAGAAAGCACCGGCUAACUCCGUG
RNAcentral lists this ribosomal RNA (477 nucleotides) under uncultured bacterium. Its description in RNAcentral is "bacterial SSU rRNA". It matches the Rfam family "Bacterial small subunit ribosomal RNA", at positions 1 to 507 of the family's 1533-position model. The record is from RNAcentral.